CGGGAGGGCGCUUACCACUUUGUGAUUCAUGACUGGGGUGAAGUCGUAACAAGGUAACCGUAGGGGAACCUGCGGUUGGAUCACCUCCUUACCUGAAAGAAGC
Molecule: ribosomal RNA, 103 nt
Filed under: Salmonella enterica subsp. enterica serovar Infantis
Lineage: Bacteria; Pseudomonadati; Pseudomonadota; Gammaproteobacteria; Enterobacterales; Enterobacteriaceae
Also listed under: 1 other name
Description: partial 16S ribosomal RNA
Rfam family: Bacterial small subunit ribosomal RNA (bases 1-91)
Source: RNAcentral